Molecule: long non-coding RNA, 1495 nt
Organism: Raphanus sativus (radish)
Lineage: Eukaryota; Viridiplantae; Streptophyta; Magnoliopsida; Brassicales; Brassicaceae
Exons: 2
Source: RefSeq, a predicted model, not a curated record
CAUUAAACAGAAACUGAAAAAUCAGUUUCGUAGCUAAAAUAUCAUUUUGGAGGCAAAACACUUAGCAAAAUUUUAUUUUUCCGCCACUUAAACAAAAUUCUUAUUUUCUAUUUGUAAAGAAAAAAAAGUCAUUCAUCCCUCUUCUCUAUCAAUGGAAACUCCAAACCCGAGUUACUAUUACCUCAAUCCCACCCAUGGUAUCUCAAUCUGAACCAUGACUGCUCAAGCCGCGACACCACCUGGUCCUCUGCUCGUUCCACGCCGUGAUUACUCUGAGUUGUCCCAUCUUCUCCUUCCCCGUGGCUGACUUCAUCCCCUCGACGAUUCACGCCUUCGUCAUCUCAACCGUCGCAAUUCUCAGCUAAAGGUAAUGCUCAUCUCGACCUCCAAUCGUCAUCUGCUAUCCCUCUGCCGUCAUCGUUGGGCUCCAGAUCCAGCAAGAGAAAGCUUUGAUCCUCUCCAAUGGUGGAUUUUUAGGUAUUUGCAAGACGGGUCCCUCAACUUCUGCUUGUGUUUUCUGAUCUUUGUUUCCAUAGCAGCCUGAGUUUGAAGAUGGUUUUAACGAUGAGUUUAAGCAAAUAUUUGAGAAUUUUAACUUCAGGGAACUUGAUUCCUUUGAGGGAACAAAUUUAUAGAUGAAUCUUAUAGCUUGAAUGUUAAGCACAAGUCACAUAAACCCAGAUUUGGAAUACUGCUGGUGAAGAAAGGUUUCUUCUCGAUCUGUGUUCUUUACUUCUUGGCGGAUCCUCGAGAACUGAAUUAAAAGUUUAAAUCUUUUGCUGUAGAUUGGUAGAGAACUCUUGCAUUCAUGUGUUUGUUGUUCUGUGUGAAGAGCUUAAGCAAGCUUUAGAUCUGUAUUUGUAGAUCUUAUAGCCAUGAAUAUGAUAUAAAGUUUUCAUUUUUAUUGAUUACUUUGACCAAUCAAUGCUUAAUACAUUGUUAGUAGACAAAAUUAUUGUGUUGGAGUCUCUGUUUCGGUUAUGGUUCUUGUUAUGCUUAUGUGAUUCAGUAACUACAAGUGUGGCGGAGAAGUAGAUACAAGCAAGCUGUUAUAAGCUCAAGGCAGAGUUUGAUCUUUACUCGUGUUUUAUAAAGAACAUAGCUUGCACUCUAAUCAAACCACAUGACUCGACCAAACAGAAAAAAAGAAAGAAAGAAAGUAAAAUUUGAAGAAAAGGAAAGAAGAAGAAAGGAAAAACUUUGAUUUAUGAAGUGCUCAAGGGGAAAAGAGAAGUUGGUUUCUUGUGUUCUUCUGUGUCAAGCUUUGAUCUGAGUUAAGUGAGUUUCGGUUUGGAUUAGAUGGUGAAGAAAACAGAGUAAUAUGAUGUGCUCGGCGUUAGCCCAACUGCUAAUGAGUCUGACUGUCUGAGAUCGAGACAAAUCUAUGGUUAUAUGUUCUUUUAUGGAGUUUGUGUGUUUCAUGUACUGAUUUUGUAUGUUUUGAAUCUUUGAUGGAUAUUCUAAACCCAAAAUUUAAAAUUAAAAUUAAACUCAA